GAUGAACGCUGGCGGCGUGCUUAACACAUGCCAGUCGAACGGAAAGGCCCUGCUUUUGUGGGUUGCUCGAGUGGCGAACGGGUGAGUAACACGUGAGUAACCUGUCCUUGACUUUGGGAUAACUUCAGGAAACUGGGGCUAAUACCCGAUAGGAGCUCCUGCUGCAUGGUGGGCGUUGGAAAGUUUCGGCGGUUGGGGAUGGACUCGAGGCUUAUCAGCUUGUUGGUGGGGUAGUUGCUUACAAAGUCUUUGACGGGUAGGCGGCCUGAGAGCGUGGACGGGCACAAGAGGACUGAGAGAGGGCGCAGUCGGGUACGGGAGGCAACGGUGGAGAAUAUUGCAGAGUGGGCGGGAGCCUGAGACAACAGUGUCGCGUGCGUAAUGACGGGCUACGGGUGAUGAACCGCUUUCGCCUGAGACGAAGCGUGAGUGACGGUAAUGGGUAAAGAAGCACCGGCUAACUACGUG
Molecule: ribosomal RNA, 468 nt
Filed under: uncultured bacterium
Lineage: Bacteria
Description: partial 16S ribosomal RNA
Rfam family: Bacterial small subunit ribosomal RNA
Source: RNAcentral